Salvia hispanica is the source of this 1256-nucleotide long non-coding RNA. RefSeq lists it as uncharacterized. The record is from RefSeq and is a predicted model, not a curated record. Lineage: Eukaryota; Viridiplantae; Streptophyta; Magnoliopsida; Lamiales; Lamiaceae.
AAGGAUCAUUUCGAAAUUAUCCUACGCGAUUAUUUAUGGAUCGAUGAAAUUUGUUCAAAUUAUGGAUAAAAUUUAAGUAAGUCUGAAAAAUUCUCAUACUGUAGGCAAAUUCAAGUGGUAGGUUUUUGCAUAAAUGCGUAUUUAAUUGAAACUCUUUAUCGUAGUUCACUCAUUUUUUAUCCCGUAUAUAGACGAACCUAAAACCCAGUGAGAACGUGACACAUAACCAACUUAAUGUAAAUGAUAAUUUUCCAUGGCCCCACCAAUGACCGAUCUAACGCUCUCAAUUAUAUAAGCACGCACCCAAUUUCACUGCAAUUUCAUAUCUUCUUCUACAUUCCAUUUCCACCACAUCCCAACGCUGGCGAGAUGAGCCCACAAUCAUUCGGUUGGCUCCGCCGCUGGUCUCCGACGGCUCUCUUUUACAGACAGUGUAUUCAUUGGUUACAGUCGGAGGCAAUACUACGCACUAAGUAAAUGCUCAACUACAGUCGCCGGUCUUCAAUGUGGGGAGCGAAUUGAACGACUGAAAACAGAGGGCUAAUUUAGUAAUUGUCUGAUUUUUAAUUGAGGAAGUCAGAUAUAUAUCUGGGCAUUUUGCAAAGUUAUGGUAACUGCACGUCUGCACAUUUCAGCUUUAAACCAGCGGGCCGAUGCCCAAUACUCGGGACACUCAGAAACGGCUAGAAGAUGUGAGAUUCAAAUCCGGUGGAGUGAUGAAAGGAGCAAACCUUCGUCUACAAAAAAAAUCUGCAAUGAAAAGGAGUUGCAAUGAAAUCCAUCUGGGUGAUAUUGGGGGUGAUUGUGCAUCUACUGAUUCUCUCACAAUGCAUGAGGCAUCCAAAUGGUAUUUCUAUCUCCGAUCAGAGGAAGCCCUUAUUUUCUCAAUCGAAUCCGGCUGCACCGCCGCCGAUGGAGACAGUAUUUGAACCGGAAUCUGAUCCCCCGCCAAGGCAACCUCCUCCCUCUUGCCGGCCUUUUUGUUGAUGAGUUUUGAAGGUGUAAGAGAGCAGCAGAUAUACGGGUUGGAAGGAAAACAAGAAAUCAAGAGGAAGAUACACACACAAAACAAGAUACUAUAUAGGUUUCUCUUUCAUACUUGUAUGGAUGCAAGAUUUGUGAUGCUUUGUUUAUUUAAUGUUAUUUGAGGAGUAGCAUUUAUCGAAUAAAGGGAUACUGUAACUCCUCAUUCUUAAUUACUUCAUCAUCUGUCAAAUAUUAAUACAAAAGAGUCUUGGCAAGAAUUUUUGCUGAAA